Molecule: ribosomal RNA, 449 nt
Filed under: uncultured bacterium
Lineage: Bacteria
Description: partial 16S ribosomal RNA
Rfam family: Bacterial small subunit ribosomal RNA
Source: RNAcentral
AGCCAGACUCCUACGGGAGGCAGCAGUGGGGGAUAUUGCACAAUGGGGGGAACCCUGAUGCAGCGACGCCGCGUGGGUGAAGGAGCGUUUCGGCGCGUAAAGCCCUAUCGGCAGGGAAGAAGGAGGACGGUACCUGACUAAGAAGCCCCGGCUAACUACGUGCCAGCAGCCGCGGUAAUACGUAGGGGGCAAGCGUUAUCCGGAUUUACUGGGUGGAAAGGGAGCGCAGACGGCAAUGCAAGCCUGGAGUGAAAGGCGGGGGCCCAACCCCCGGACUGCUCUGGGAACUGUAUAGCUAGAGUGCAGGAGAGGCAAGUGGAAUUCCUAGUGUAGCGGUGAAAUGCGUAGAUAUUAGGAGGAACACCAGUGGCGAAGGCGGCUUGCUGGACUGUAACUGACGUUGAGGCUCGAAAGCGUGGGGAGCAAACAGGAUUAGAUACCCCGGUAAA